This 468-nucleotide ribosomal RNA is filed under the name uncultured bacterium. RNAcentral describes it as "partial 16S ribosomal RNA". It matches the Rfam family "Bacterial small subunit ribosomal RNA", at positions 28 to 507 of the family's 1533-position model. The record is from RNAcentral.
GACGAACGCUGGCGGCGUGCUUAACACAUGCAAGUCGAACGGAAAGGCCCUGCUUUUGUGGGGUGCUCGAGUGGCGAACGGGUGAGUAACACGUGAGUAACCUGCCCUUGACUUUGGGAUAACUUCAGGAAACUGGGGCUAAUACCGGAUAGGAGCUCCUGCUGCAUGGUGGGGGUUGGAAAGUUUCGGCGGUUGGGGAUGGACUCGCGGCUUAUCAGCUUGUUGGUGGGGUAGUGGCUUACCAAGGCUUUGACGGGUAGCCGGCCUGAGAGGGUGACCGGCCACAUUGGGACUGAGAUACGGCCCAGACCCCUACGGGAGGCAGCGGUGGGGAAUAUUGCACAAUGGGCGGAAGCCUGAUGCAGCAACGCCGCGUGCGGGAUGACGGCCUUCGGGUUGUAAACCGCUUUCGCCUGUGACGAAGCGUGAGUGACGGUAAUGGGUAAAGAAGCACCGGCUAACUACGUG